AGCAGAUUCCGUUUUCGCUCUUCUGUUUGCUUCCAGCGGCACGUACGCUCUCACGAAUUUGUCUGGCGAUUAAUUAUUUUCUUCCAGCGGUAUAAACUAACCGUGACAAAAAGGAUUUUCAACGUUCGGGCGAUUGAACAACGUUUAUUUCUUAACGUUCCGAAGAAAUGUGAGAAAAUACUAAAAAAAAUAACAGUCAUUGUAACGAUUGGUCUAAGCUGUUUGAUCAUGAUUUCGAACAAAAACAAAUAAAGUACUAGUAAAGAAUGUGGAACUUUCAACACACACGCAAUCC
Molecule: long non-coding RNA, 295 nt
Organism: Aedes aegypti (yellow fever mosquito)
Lineage: Eukaryota; Metazoa; Arthropoda; Insecta; Diptera; Culicidae
Exons: 2
Source: RefSeq, a predicted model, not a curated record